CUAAUUCAUAUAAGGAGGUAGAAGUUUGCGGUUACAGUUAAGUCGAUGAUAUAUAAAAAGAUACAGGCUCAAAUGACUCAUUCAUGAAAAAAAACUAAAGAGACUCUAUUCCAACCCAGGCUUCCCGCACGCUUGCUUCCUGAUGUUUAUGUCCUCCUGAAUGCGAAGAAGCAGCUGCAUAGGCGAUAGGAAUUUAUUUUCAAAGAUCCUCCUGUUGCGCUCAUUCCAUAUAUUCCAUGCCGUUAUGAUGCAGUAGGCCGCCAAUGAUCUCCGCUGCUUCCUACUGAUAUUGGCCAUUGUUUGUGUCCACCAUUGCUCGGUUGAUUCAUACCCAUCUCCAGGAAUGGGAACCUUCCUUCCCGUCCAGUUGGACACCAACAUCCAUAGGAGCAGGUGAGGCACAAGUGCAGAGCCGUUUCGUUUUCUUGGUCACAAAGCUUGCAUGUUGGUUCACACUCCCAGUUUUUUGCAUCAUCUUGUCCGCUGUUAAUACCCUUUCUCCUGUGUUUAUUUUCCACAUGUGCAGUCCAAAUGCUAUUGCUGGAAAAUGAACAGUACAUUCCUUUCAGCUGUGCUUGAUACGCUGAUUUGGACGUGUAUUUUCCAUUUGUCGUCCAUUUCCAAAAUAUCCUGUCAUCUUCCUGAUCAUUUAGCUGGACAGUUUGGACCAAGUCCUGCAAAUUCACAAAUUCCGCCAUCUCCUGCUGCACUAGUGCGAGGCUGCGAGCACAAUGUAUUUUACUGUCUUUUCUUGAGAUGUUACCACCCACUGUCAGUUGCUCUGAUUUGUGUUAACAGUCUAUGAUCUCAAAUCUGAAGGCUCUGUGUUCCUGGACUGCAUUUCUCGCAGCAAGUUUUGACAUCCUGCCCUGGUACUACAACUGUGGAUUCAGGCACAAAGAUGAUCCAUCAUCGGCCUCAACGCAAAAAGGCUGCCACAUUCUCUGAUCCAUCGCCCUGGACCCUGCGUUGCAAGCUUGGACAAGGAGGCAGGUCGCCGCCGGCGAAAACGGCGACGUGGUUCGAGACGGCGGCCGCGUGCGGCAAUCUGGCGGAGCCGGCUGGCUGGCCAUCUCCGUGCCCGGGGCCAUGGACACGCUUUGCCCAGACCUGAUCGGGCCAGCUUCUCUCAAACGAUGAAGCGGCCGGCAAGGUCUCGCCGCGUCGUCGACCGGCGGUCACUCGCCGCCGAGCCCGAGCACACCCGCCGUGCCGCCGCCGUCCCCGUCCGGCCUCCAGCAUCGCGCCUGCCUGACGACUAACCAGGACGACCGUGCCCCUGCCUGUGCAGACCUCGCCCGAUCCGGACCGCACGUGCUCGAUCCAACGGCAUAAAGUGACCCAGGGGGCGGACGGUAUUUGAAAUACCGUCCACCCGUCCCCUGGACCCUGGUCGUCGCAGCAACGCCACCUCCGCUGCAUGCCGUGGCUCGCCGGAGCACAGCCGCGCCGGCCUGCCAGUAAGCGUCGACUUCCUGCGUCCUGUCGAGCUUCGCCGCGAGCGACGAGAGGACGCGUCUCCGUUCAGAUUGGACCGGCUGCAUGCAUCGCAUACGCCGAUGCGCGACAUGCGCUACGACCUCCACGACGCCAUCGCAGAGUCCAUGCGGCUGUACCCGGUGUCGCCCGUCGACGCGCGCAUCUAACCUGUGCGCGCUGUGGUGCCACGCGCCAUCACCUAACCCUGCUCGCGUGCGCCGCCGUGACGCCACGUGACUCAGGUGGCGCGCGCACGCCGGGAUAACGUUCGCCUUCGUCUUCGCCACGCACUCGCCUCCAUGGCCGCGCGCAGCGCGUCCGCACAGGGAAGGUACACACGCGACACACGGCUGACCCCAAUGGCAUCGUCUUCGCUCGCUUGCUGCCUCGUUAGGCUUGUCGCCGGCGGUCGGGCACCAGGUGUUCCGUGUUCGCUGCUUUGCCUGGCGAAGGACCAACGAUCAGGAAUGUGCAUGAGCACGCCUGCCGGCGGCCGGCCGGCCUCAGCCUUGAAGUCUAGGUUCAUAUUCAAAUUUGCUCUUUGUUUUCACUAUUUAAAAGUCCGUACUGGUCCCCGCGCUUCAAACCAAUUGGCAAUUUGAAUUUGCAUACCGGAUUAUGCCGAAUCGCUGCCUUUUUCAAACUGUCACGUGAAUCCUUUCCUUUUUUUUUUGCCAAAGAACAUCACACGUUAUUGUUUUGAUGACAUCACUUUGGAAUGGAAAAAAAAGGCCGAGCCAUGCUCACCUCAAUUUGCGGCCAAGUGCCUUCUUGAAUGACACUCCAACUAACACUAGCGUAGCUCUAGUGCUCUGCAUAUGUAGUUGCCGUUUAACUGAACUGCGCAGAGUGCGUGUACCCAAAAUGAAAAAACAAAAACUUUAGAGCACUACAUCUGUAGAUUCAGGCACAAGAUCCAUCACCAGCCUCAACGCAAACGGCAGUGAUCAUCUGAUGUAGCCCCCGGCCCCACGCUCGGCCGCGCCCGCGCUGCGCGCGGCCAUGGAGGCGGCGGUGGCGCGGCGACGGCUCCGCCGCCGGUGCACUCCCGGGCAGGCCGGCCUUUCCCCCGAGAGAGCAGAACGUGGCGCGGCUGCCGUGCGAGCGUGGCGUAGGCGCCGGAGACCCGGAGUUCCCCCGCACAGCGUGGCAUCGCGUCGUCGAACACGGAGUUUGCUGCAGUGCUCGCUGUUCAGCUGCAGUGUCAGGAGUACUUGAUGGGCAAGAACAUCCACUGAAUGGCCUUUAGCAGUAAACAUCGGCAGGUAAAAAGAUCAGUGCAAUACUUGUCUCUCCAAACAAUAGAUACGUAGAUUGUGCAUGAAUUCACUUCGUUUUCGCAAGCUGUUAAUCGCAUUCGGUUCAGUAACUUUCAUAUAGGCAGAGGAAGUUGCAAAGUAACAGUCUGUUCCUUCCAGCAUAAGUCUGUAGAUUCA
Long non-coding RNA from Setaria italica (foxtail millet), 2915 nucleotides. RefSeq lists it as uncharacterized. The record is from RefSeq and is a predicted model, not a curated record. The transcript has 3 exons. Lineage: Eukaryota; Viridiplantae; Streptophyta; Magnoliopsida; Poales; Poaceae.